AUUGAACGCUGGCGGCGUGCUUAACACAUGCAAGUCGAUCGGUAACAGGUGUAGCAAUACAUGCUGACGAGAGGCGGACGGGUGAGUAAUGCUUGGGAAUCUGCCUAUUAGUGGGGGACAACCCGGGGAAACUCGGGCUAAUACCGCAUACGCUCUACGGAGGAAAGCCGGGGACCGCAAGGCCUGGCGCUAAUAGAUGAGCCCAAGUCGGAUUAGCUAGUUGGUAGGGUAACGGCCUACCAAGGCGACAAUCCGUAGCUGGUCUGAGAGGACGACCAGCCACACCGGAACUGAGACACGGUCCGGACUCCUACGGGAGGCAGCAGUGGGGAAUAUUGGACAAUGGGGGCAACCCUGAUCCAGCGACGCCGCGUGGGUGAAGAAGGCCUGCGGGUUGUAAAGCCCUUUCGGUGGGGAAGAAAAGUCUCGACCUAAUACGUCGGGACCUUGACGUAACCCACUAAAGAAGCACCGGCUAACUCUGUGCCAGCCGCCGCUGUAAU
RNAcentral lists this ribosomal RNA (503 nucleotides) under uncultured bacterium. RNAcentral's name for it is "bacterial SSU rRNA". It matches the Rfam family "Bacterial small subunit ribosomal RNA", at positions 29 to 524 of the family's 1533-position model. The record is from RNAcentral.